GGGGUUACAAAAACAAAAAAUGCCUCAGUGCAACUUAGUUCUUUCGGCUGACAUCAAUGACUCCGUAAAAGAAUUGGCACGGUGUAUACCAAGACCAGCUAUUUUGACAACUCUGAUAUCUAUUUUGAAAUAUUCUUUCAUUUCUACACUUCCACAACAACCAUCCAGCAUAUGCCAUAGUGGAUGGUGUACUUUAUCAAAAUAUGAGAAAAGAGAAUUAACAAGCCCAUCUAGUGAGUCCGAAGGAAGUUGAAACCCCACUUCAAUUGCAACAAAAGACCAAACCGUAGUUGCUCUUGGGCAUUGGAUCAACACAUGGUCGAGAUCUUCAAUGUCACUACACUGAUCACAAUGGGCUCUUAGGAGGUCCCACAGAUCCCUAAUACAAUAUAGCAACUUAUAGGGCAGCCUAUUUUGAGCAACUUUCCAAUAGAACAAAGAAACCCGAGGAGCCGCACUCAUUUUCCAUAGUUCAGAAAAUCUAGUUGGAGGAUCAGUAACCUGCAUUGUAUCGGUAGAUAACAACUUGUAGCAGACCCAUAGAACUUUCAUAGAAUAGGAGUUAGAGUGGCACCAAAUCCGCACAUCCCUACAAGGAAGAACAGGAAUGGGAAUCAACUUGAUCUGGUUAACCAAAUCUUCAAUAAACAUACUGGACAAGAGUUGUACAUUUCAAUCACCACCACUAAUAAAAUCUAAAAUAGUAGAGUUCUCCAAAUCAGUUUCCACAUUGAUAAAAAUUGGCAACUCACUUUAAUGGUAUGUUAGUAAUCAAGCAUCUUGCAAAACCUUCAUUAAGAUACCAUCACCUAUCAUCCACUAUGUUUUAAACAACAUCAAAGAAGCAUGUUUAACAAUCUCCUUCCAAAUAUGAGAUGACUUUCUAGGGCAAUGUUAAUCACCCCAGUUAUUACCAAAAUUAUAUUUAUAUUGUACAGCCAUAGCCCAUAAAGUAGGAUUAAGCAAAAGUUGGGUGGCGUGCUUGACAAAUAGUGCUUUCCUCCUCAAUUUAAGCUCUUGCAGACCAAGUCUCCCAACUUUCUUGGGAUGGCAAAUAGAAUCCCAAGAUACAUAAUGAACACCUUGAUGGUGAGCCUCUUGUGCCCAAAAGAAAGAUUUGAGAUACUUCUAAAUAGAGUCAAUAAUACAAAGAGGCACAACCGUAUUAGUCAUAGUAAACAUAGGCACCGAAGCUAAAACAGAAUGAAUUAACACCAAUCGACCAGCUUGAAAUAAUAACCUCUAGUUCCACCCAUCUAUCUUUGAAUUAACCCUGCUCACCAGAUAAUUAAAAUCUUGAGUUCUGAGCCUUUUGUCAGACAUAGAAAUGCCCAGAUAGGUGAUAUUACCUGCUCAAUUUCUAAUUUAUAGAAUAGAACAAAUACUCUACUUAACACCCAAAUCAAUUUUUCGAGUGAACAUAGCAUGACAUUUUUGAAUAUUCACUAGUUGACCAGAUUGAAGAUAAUAAGAGUACAUGAUAUGUGUAAUUAGCUUUGCAUUAUGAGUGAUUGCCCUCACAGUGAUCUAUAGAUCAUCAGCAAACAUCAAAUGCGACAACGAAGGGCCAUGUUUACCUAGCUUAUAAGAUUUUAAAUUUUCCUCAUAGAUAGCAUCUUUUAAUAUGUGAGACACAUAUCAAAACAGAGAAUAAAUGAGAAUGGUGACAAAGGACAACCUUAGUGUAAUCCAAUGGAUGGUGCAAACCAUAUGGUCGAAUAGCCAUUAACCAAAAUUGCAAACUCCGAUAAGCACGCACAAGCAGAAAUCAAAUUAAUAAAAGUAGAAUGAAAGCCCAACUAUAGAAGAACUUUUUUGAGGUAUGGCCAUCGCAUUCUAUCGUAGGCUCUUUCUAUAUCCACCUUAAGUAUCAUCAGAGCUCUAGAUUUGAGAGCAAUUUUCAUGGAAUGAAAAACCUCUUGAACCAAUACUAGGUUGUUCGUGAUAGAUCUUCCAACAACAAAAGCACCCUGCUCUAUGGAGAUCAAAGUAGGCAUUAAUGGUUUCAUAUGAUUAACAAGCAGUUUGGCUACCACUUUGUACAAAGAAUUACAAAGACUAAUUGGGCAGAAUUUGAAGGAAACAUAGGAAGUUUCACACAUGCAUUUUAAAUUUUUUUAGCAAAAACUAACUAGAUUAAAUAAUUUAAUCUACCAUGCAUGUGUUAGAGCAGAUCUAAAACUAUCAAGCAAGAACAAUGACAUAACAUAUAUGUCUUCAAGAAUCUAAAAUCUAACACUAACAAGCAUCGAUCAUAUCAAUGCCUUAGAUCAAAUCUAUCUAGUCAUUGAGUUUUGAACCCAAUACUUGAGCGCGGGUCGAAGAUCAUCAUUGUUGAUUAUCAUAGAUUUGAGAUUCUUCUAGUCUUGCAGUAGCUGCACAAGUUGUCCGACCUCUACGGAAGUUCACAUGAAGCUCAAAUCUGAUUAAUCUCUUUGGAGUGCUAGCUCUUCAUAGAGAUCACUUGAUGGCUGAUCACGUUUCUUUCUUCGAAUCACUCAGACUCUUCCAAAGAUGAAGAUGAAUUUAGGAGGAGGUGAGACAGUGGAAGAAAGUGAAAUGAAGAAAAUCUAAUCUCUCUAUUUUUCUCUCUUCUCAGAUCAAACCCUGGAUCGCUCACCCCAAAAGGAGAUGGUUCUCCUCAAAUCUCUCAUGCCAAAGAAGGAAUGCCCACCCCAAGACCUCAUGCCCUACACUCAUGUUCGGCCACUCUCUCUUCUGAUUUUUCACGAUGAAAAAUCAAUUCACACUCUCUUUCACAUGCUAAAACAAAUUUUUAUUUGAUGGCAUUGAAAGGAAGUUAGGAUAAGGAUAAAUCCUUACGAAGAUAAGAAUCAAAUUUGAACUCAAAUUCAAAUCAAAUUUGAACUCAAAUUCAAACUAAACUUAUCCCAUCCAAAGAGGGGCGACAAAGGGGCUAAGGUGUGGAGUUUUCCUCACACACAAUUAUGAAUUGUGCGAUGACAAAAUGGCAUGGAGAAGUGGAUGAGGCGCUAGGUUUAAAUUCAAACCCAUUUGAAUUUAAUUCAAACUAAUUUUGGUCCUUAUCCAAAUCAGAUUUGGUUAUAUCUAAUUAGAUAAUUGAACCUAAUCUAAUUAGACAUCACAAUUUGAUUAAAUCCUAAGGUAAUAAAAAAUUAAUCGAGCUCAAGGUCUGAUCAAAUUAGAAAUUGAACUCUGUUAGUGAUUAGGUCAUCUUAUAACCUAAUCGAGUCAAACCUAAUUGAAUCCAAUUCAAUUAGAUUUGAUCUGAACCUUAUUGUUCAAUUAAAUUGAGCUAAUUAGCAAUCUAAUUAUUAAUUAAUCUUCUUAUAAUUUACUAACUGUUAAUAAAUUAUUCAAUCAUAAUUUUUGUAUAAGAUUAAUCAUCAAUCAUAUUGACGAUUAUACCCUUGAAUGAUUCUCAAUCGUUGAUCAGCCAUCUGAUCAAACAGAAACUUCUAUUGUGUGUGACUCCAUAGGUUCGAUCCUAAGCUGGUAGCAUAGGAAUAAAUUUUUAUACUAAUUGAAGUGACUAUCCAGCAAUGAUACCCGACAUCUGGAUAGGCCAAAUGGUUGCAAAGUAACAUUCAAGAACCUUUGGCAUAUGGUUCCUGUAUAAUUCAUUCCUUUGAUCUUCAAUGCUCAAGAUGACUUCAAAGUUAAACCAUCAACUCUUGAUUUGUAUAUCCAAAUUGUGUCUCAAUCUUAUAAAUCCUAUGACUCCUCACAUGGAUUAUCUUAGUCAAGAUUUUACUAAAUUGAAACACAUUGCAGCGUUAACUCCUGAAACUAGGAGCGGUCAAUCUCAUUUUGACUCACACACAGACUUCACAAGUACUUAACUGUGUCUAGAAAUCUUCCAUCAUUAUAUUAGAAAUACAGAUAGUCCGACACCAAAGCAUAGUGAGCUACUUGCAAGUCAUCAUGAUAAUCUCAAAUUGGAGGGACACUUAUUUCCAUAACCUUCGUGAGCAACCCUUGACAGCAGAGCACUCCAUAGAUUGAUCACGUUCAAUAAAAUAUAUUCUUACAUUUCAUUUAUAUGCCAUACCAGUGUCUCUGUACUUUUUGUUUAUGAGGAUAAUCAACUCAUAUGGCACACAACGACCUACACUUGAUAAACAUCAUCAUCCUAUUAAUAACAUAUCAUUUGGUCGCAAACAAGUUUAAGAACUAUUCGAUAAAUCUUUCUUUAUCGAUUUAAAAAUAAUUCUAAGGACUUCAUCAUAAAAGGAGUUCUAAAAAGAAGAUGCAAAAUUAUGAUGAAUAUGCAAAAAUAAUUUUUAUUAAUAUAAAUCAAUUAUAAUUCAUAUACAAGAGCACAACCAUCUACAGCUUAGAUGAUUGGUUUUAAGAUACAUUUCUAACAAUCUCCUACUUGAACUAUAAUCAAUCAGAAUAGUAUCUAAUACCUAUCUUUCACUUGUGAUCAUCGAACUCCUUGAUUUCGAGGGCUUUAGUGAAUGGGUCGACUGGAUUCUCCUUUCCAUCAAUCUUUUGAAGAUUGAUAUCACCUCGUUCUACGAUCUCACAGACAAGAUGGUAGCGACACAAAAUGUACUUGGUUCUCUGAUGGAACUUGGAUUCUUUUGUUUGAGAAAUGGCACUAAUAUUGUCAUAAUACAGUGAAACUAGACCUUCAUAUGAGGGAACCACUCCAAGCUCACCGAUAAACUUCUCCAACCCAACAGAUUCUUUGGCAGCAUCAGGUGCUGCAAUGUAUUCCAUCUCGCAAAUAGAAUCGGCUAUCGUAUGUUGCUUAAAAUUUUUUCAGCAUAUCGCUCUACCAUACAGGAUAAAGAUGUAACCCGACACACUCUUGCUGUCAUCAUAAUCUGACUGAAAAUUGAAAUCAGUAUAUCUCACAAGUUUUAAGAUAGUUUCUCCAUAAAUGAGCUAUUGAUUUUUAAUAUUUCUUAAAUACUUAAGGAUAAUUUUUAUAACCUUCCAAUGGUUCUCAUCUGGAUCAGAUAGAUACCUAUUCACUAUCUCUAGUGAAUAAGCAAUAUCUGGUCUUGUAUAUAUCAUUGCAUAUGUUAUAGAUCUCACUGCUGAAGUAUAUGGGAUUCUACUUAUACGCUCUCUUUCUUAAAAAGUUAUCGGAUAAUCCUUCUUAGAAAGAAAAAUUUUUUAGCCUAUUGGUAGAUAGCCCUUCUUAGAAUUUGCUAUGCUGAACCAUUUUAGUACGAUAUCAAUAUAUGUGGAUUGGGACAAUCUAAGUAAUAUUUUAGAUCUAUCUCUAUAGAUCUUCAUCCCUAGAAUGUAGGAUGCUUCUCCCAAAUCUUUCAUGAAGAAUUGAGACGAUAGCUAUAGCUUUACACUUUGUAAAGUAGGGAUGUUAUUCCCAAUUAAGAGAAUAUCAUCAACAUAAAAUAUAAAAAAAUUACUACAGAACCAUUAACCCAUUUAUAGAUGCAGGGUUCUUCUUCAUUCUUAAUAAAGUCAUAUGUUCUAAUCAUUUUAUCAAAACAUAAGUUUCAACUCCAAAAUACUUACUUCAAUCCAUAAAUGGAUCUCUGAAGCUUACACAUAUUUGACUUAUCUGUGGAUGUGAACCCUUCAAGUUGUAUCAUAUAUACUUUUUGUUCCAGCUCUCUAUUUAGGAAAGCCGUCUUGACAUUUAUUUUUCAGAUUUCAUAAUUCAGGUAUGUUGCUAUCAUAAGCAUAAUCUGAAUGGAUUUAAAUAUUAUCAUAGAAGAAAAUAUUUCAUCAUAGUCUAUUCCAUAAUGGCGAUGAUAUCUCUUGAUAACCAAAUGGGCUUUAUAGGUCUCUAUCUUCCUGUCUGUGCCUUUUUUCUUUUGAAAAUCUAUUUGCAUCCUAUAGAUUUUAUCUCUUUGGAUGGAUCAACGAGUGUCCAUACAUUAUUGAUCUUCAUGAAUUUUAUUUCAGACUUCAUGGCUUCGAGCCACGUAUUAGAGUCAGAUCUCUGUAUGGCAUCAAUGUAGAUGAUCGGAUCCUCGUUGUUUUUAUCAAGUUCAACAGGAUCUCCAUUCUGGAUUAAGAACCAUAGUAUCUAUCCCACUGAUGUGAUACUCUAUUAGAUCUCCUUAAAGGUGCCUUUACAAUGGGCUCUAGAUUUAAUCUAAUCAAAUUUAGUUCUGAAUUUCACUUGUCUAUAUCGAUUCUUCUACUUGUCGAACUUCAUCAAGUUCAACCUUAGUGGCAUUAAGUUCUUUCCUAAAGAACUUCUUUUCUAAAAAGAUUAUCCUAUUGCUGACGAACACCUUUUAUUUUUCAGCAAGAUAAAAGUAAUAUCCUCUAAUUUUUUUGGGUACCCAAUAAAUAGACAUCUAUUAAAGCUAGGUCUAAGCUUAUCUAUCUUGAAAUGUUUGACAUAAGCCGGACAUCCCUAGGCCCUGAGGUGUGAGAGUACCGAUUUAUGUCCUGUCCAUAUCUCAUAUGAUAUUUUAUUUAUAGACUUGCUCGAAAUCUUAUUUAAUAUAUAAUAGGCAGACUCGAGUGCAUAUCCUCAAAAAGAGAUCGACAGACUUGUAAAGUCCAUCAUAGAUCGAACUAUGUCUAACAGUAUUCAAUUCUUCCUUUCUGACACUCUAUUAUGUUGUGGUGUCCCAAGAGGAGUCCAUUAUAAGAGAAUCCCAUUCUUUCCUAGAUAUGUCAGAAACUCACUGGUGAGGUAUUCUCCUCCUCAGUCUAAUUGAAAAAUUUUAAUACUCUUUCGAAUUUAUUUUUCAACCUCAUUACAGAAUCGUUUGAAUAUUUCAAAUGAUUCACAUUUAUGUUUCAUAAGAUAGACGAACCCAUACCUAUAUAAGUCGUCAGUGAUUGUAAUGAAGUAGUAAUACCCACCUCUAACAAGUGUUCAUUGGUCUACAUACAUCACUAUGUACUAGACUUAGAACUUCACUGGCUCGUUCACCUUUUUCAGUAAAAAAUGACUUUGUCAUUUUCUCAAGAAGACAGGAUUUAUAGAUCGGUAAUGAUUCACAAUCAUUAACUUCGAAAAUUCUCUUUAGUUAACCUAUUUAUCCUAUUCUUGUUAAUAUGACCUAGCCUAUAAUGCCAAAGAUAGACAUUAGUGAUAUUAUCUAAUCUAAGGUGUUUGUUCGAUGUGUACAUUACACUAACAGACUGUGAUAAAAUAUAAAUAUCAUUUCUCAAUUGUCCNNNNNNNNNNNNNNNNNNNNNNNNNNNNNNNNNNNNNNNNNNNNNNNNNNNNNNNNNNNNNNNNNNNNNNNNNNNNNNNNNNNNNNNNNNNNNNNNNNNNNNNNNNNNNNNNNNNNNNNNNNNNNNNNNNNNNNNNNNNNNNNNNNNNNNNNNNNNNNNNNNNNNNNNNNNNNNNNNNNNNNNNNNNNNNNNNNNNNNNNNNNNNNNNNNNNNNNNNNNNNNNNNNNNNNNNNNNNNNNNNNNNNNNNNNNNNNNNNNNNNNNNNNNNNNNNNNNNNNNNNNNNNNNNNNNNNNNNNNNNNNNNNNNNNNNNNNNNNNNNNNNNNNNNNNNNNNNNNNNNNNNNNNNNNNNNNNNNNNNNNNNNNNNNNNNNNNNNNNNNNNNNNNNNNNNNNNNNNNNNNNNNNNNNNNNNNNNNNNNNNNNNNNNNNNNNNNNNNNNNNNNNNNNNNNNNNNNNNNNNNNNNNNNNAUUGAUAAAUGAUAACUAUGUUUGGCCAAAAGGCCUACAGAGAUUACAUUCAUUAGAAAAGAUGGACAAAAUGACAAUCAUCUAAGACAAUAAUAUUUUUAAAAUUAAAAACAAGCUCGACAACUCCUAAAGCUAGGACUGGAAUAUGACUUUCUUCUUUCAUAUUCAGAAAUCUCUAGCUGUUUUCAAACCUCCUACUAACCUGAAGUUUCUACAAUGAAUUACAAAUAUUAAUUGGACUUUCAGUAUCCAAUACCUAGAUAGUAGUAUCACAAAUAAAGAAGUUAUAAGGUAUUAUCAUAUAAGUACCUUGAUUAGUAACUGCUUACUACCUCCUCUUGUUAGGCCUGUUCGGAUCAAAGGAAGCAAUAUAUUCAGGAUAAUUCCUCUUCUAGUGAUCCAGUUUCUUACAGUAGAAGCAUUUUGUCUGGCUUUUAUCGACCUUAAAUAUUUUGGUCUGAUUGGGCUUUGACGCCCCAGCACGCUGCAUCUUCUUCUUCUUCUUUUCUUUCUUAAAGGGAUGAUGUCUAGCAGAGGACUGACCUACCAUAUUCACCGACUCCUUGAGGAGCUGGUGAUCCUUCUUAAAGAUCUGCAGUAACCCUAGCAAACCAUGGUAGUUUACUGCAGGCUUAGUCAUUAUAUAAUGUCUCAAGAAGAAGAGGUAGGAUGUGGGCAGUGAGUUCAGUAUAGCAUCUUUCUCUAGCUGUUCAUGCAAGAGAAUUUUGAGUUUGCUCAGACAUUUGAUCUGCUUGAUCAUAUAUAAUACAUGAUCUGUGAUUGACGUUCCCUCAUGGAUGCGGGCAUUGAAGAUGGCACAAGAGGUUUUAUGCCUCUCAACAUCAUCAGAUGUACCGAAGGAUUCAUUCAACAUUUGAAGUAUUUCUUCCAGCCGAGUAUCCUCAAAUUUACGACUGAACUCAUCAUUUAUAGCCGCUCUCAUAAUGUAAUGCACUGCGGUGCAGUCAUUGAGCUAUUUCUGAUAAGUAUCUCUGACUGCACUAUCUUCAAUUUUCGAUAUCAGCUAUUGAAAUUAGAUCCCAUGAGCUUGUCACUGUCUAACAGUGAGUGGAGCAAUAAAGUACUAGCCAUUACUGAAAAAAAUAUAAGACCUAUUAGUAUAUGAAUUAUUUAAUCCUAAAGAUUUGAACUUUAGUCGAAAUAUUUUCUCACUAUUUUUUACGAAUUAAUAGUCUCUACCUCCAAUUCGAAAAAUUACUUUAGUCCCUUAGCAGGUACUAGAAUCCACACCGACUGCAUAUGAGCCCAAGUGUGGCUCGACCAACCCAUGUGCAUCAAUGGAUAGGUUCUUAACUAAUUAUUUUUUCAAAUAAUUUUUAGUAAUAUAUUUUGCUCCAGGCUUCUCUUCAAUAGGUGUGUAGCGUCUCUACUGAAAAUCUUGAUUUUAUCCAACCAUUAACAUGAUCAUACUCAGUGUAUCUAAUUAACGAAUGAUUAGAUCUGAGUGUGGCUCGACCAACCUGACCACCCAAUAGAAAGUCACAACUGAGUCAUCAUAUUAUGAAUGACAAUUUCAAUAGCCAGAUAAACACCAGGCGUGUGGCACCUCCAAUGCUUAUUCAGACUAUUGGAUUGAUUAUCAUCCACUUUAAUGGGAGGUUAUGAACUUGUUAUCCCCAUAACAUUAUCAUUUUAAGGAUCCAAUAAUUUAAAAAUUUAAUUAUUUAUUUUAGAAUCAAGAGAAGAGAUUAACCAACAAUCAACAAUCCUCCCUCUGACUUCACCAACUUUUUGAAGAGGACUAGAGACUAAGCUGGUUCAAGGGUACAUAAAUCAGUUAUAUUGAUUAACCUUAAUGGCAUGGGUAAACUCGAAUCAUUAAGCGACCUAAUCAAAAUUAGAUUAACCAUAUUGGCUAGGUAAGUGAAGAUUGACGGAAAGGUCCUCAUUUCUUUCCAUAGACACCAAUGUAAUUAGCCAGAAAAAAGAAUAGUCGCAAUUAAAAAUUCGUUUCAACCACUUGUCUUAAACACCAAUUGGUUCAUUAGUUUCGAUUUGGUCAGGCAAAUAAAUUCGGACUCAACCACUGAGCUAUAAUCAGGUCUAUUUGAUAAAAUAUAGACUUGAUUAACUACAACUAUUGAGUUUGAUCUAGAGUGACUUUGACCUAAUCUAAAUAAAUUUUUUAUUAGAUUUGAUCAACUACUCAUUUUAGUCUAUUUGUUUUCAACCUUAGGUGUCACCCAGUUAAAAGGAUCUGAUUUGAGCUAACCCAUAGUCCCAUAUUUUAUGAAAUGUCAUUAGAUCUUAAAUUCAUAAUUCUAGAUUCUUUAAUUUUAUAUCUUAAUUCUAAAUUAAGUGUAUGAAAUUAAUAUUUAAAUAAUUUUAAAUAUAAACUCCUUUACAUAAAAUGUCAUGCAAAAAAUAUUCAGUCUAAAAAAUUUGAGUCGACUCACCCAGGAUUGAGUCGGCUCAACACAGUGAGUCAACUCAAUUAUGAGACAUAGUUGACUCACUAAUGAUGAACAGAAACAUUCAUCCUAAGCCUGCACAAGUUGGCUCAACAAAAAAUUGAGCCAACUCAUCAGGGACUUAAGUCGACUCAAAUCAAAAUUGAGUCAACUCAGCAGGUGUGCCAGCAACAAUUGAGAAGUUUUAGAUCUGAUAUUUUUGCAUAAACAGUAAUAAAAUUAAUCAUAAAUCUAUUUUAGAUGUAAUCUAAACUUAGUUAUGAUAUAAUCUAAACUAAUCAUAAAUUAUAAAUCUAUUUUAGAUCUAAUCAUAAAUCUAUUUUUGUCGUUAGGAUACUAUAAUUAUUAAAUUAAUUUUAAUUUUUAAAAAUAUUAAAAAUAUAUAAAAAGUAGCAAGUCACAUCGAAUUUAUAGAAAAGAUUUCUCAUAUAGGUUCUGACGAUUGUGUUGGAGACCGAUAUAGCAUAAGUACUGCUUGCAGCUUUGAAUUGUUAGCUGGAUCGGCAAUGCUUGUUGUGCAGCAAGACUAGGUUAACCAGGGGCCUAUGAGAAGAAAACUGUUAUAAGAUCUUGAAGAGACAGGGAUGAUAGCACAAUUGAUUAAGAUAUUUCAUGCAGGAACAGUAUUAGACUCAUAUGGUAACUUCAUCAUAUUUGCUGUCAGUGUGCUUGGUGUCACUUCAAAAAAAUAAAUUAGAGUAAGUGAGAAAGAAAGAGAAAGUCUUUCAUCAGAGAUAUUUGGCAACUAACAUGCAAGCAAGCAUAAGUUGAACGUUUUGAAAUGACUAUAUUUGAUGAUCUAGACUUUGCUUAAUUAAACAUCACUAUAUGAGGCGGCUCCUAAAAGAUCAGUAGACAUGCAUGAUAUAUUAUAAAAUUUGCUUAUUAGAAAUCAUGUGAAANNNNNNNNNNNNNNNNNNNNAUUUGAAUUAGCAAUUUUAGUUAAUGGCCAAGAAGUUUAUAUCACUUAUUUAACCACUUAUUUAUUUAUUUAUUUUGGUAAGUUAGAAAACUAAUAGAAGGAAACAGAUAACAAGAGGAAACAUAGCAAUAGAAAAAACCCCAUAGAAACCCAGAGGAAUUACCACCCCUUGGGGUGAAGAACACGAAAUGCAUCCAAAUAGAUAAUUUGACAUAGAGAAGACGACAACCUAGUUAAUGAAUGGAAUUGAAGAUCCUCCUUUUCUGAAGACAACCAAACCACUGCAGCAUUAUCCUCCCAGAAUAUAUGCCUAACGACAGAGUAGUCUAAUGAAGAGGACAAGCAAAAAAAUGUCAUACAAUAGUGGAAUAGAGGAUAGAACCUUCAAACCUGUGGAAAUCCCCCGCACCACCAUGAUGGAGUCACCUUCAAGGAUAAGCCAUCUACACCCAAAUGAAAAAUAGCUACUUUCAUGCCCUCCCAUGCACCACACAUCUCAAUCUCAGGGACUAAACCAAUUGCAAAUCUUUCUGCUCCCGUCAUAAGCAUGUUCUCAUCAUGAUUUUGAAUAAUGUAACUAGCACCGACACUAUUCAGCCCAAAGGACCCACUGAAGCUAACUUUUAGAACAGCCUGGGAUGGAGGCAUCCAACACACCAGCAAAGGUUGAAUAGAGAGGGGGUUACAAGAACCAAAAAUGCCUCAGUGCAACUUGGUUCUUUUGGCUGACAUCAAUGACUCCGUAAAAGAAUUGGCAAGGUGUAUACCAAGACCAGCUAUUUUGACAACUCUGAUAUCUAUUUUGAAACAUUCUUUCAUUUCUACACUUCCACAACAACCAUCCAGUAUAUGCCAUAGUGGAUGGUGUACUUUAUCAAAAUAUGAGAAAAGAGAAUUAACAAGCCCAUCUAGUGAGUCCGAAGGAAGUUGAAACCCCACUUCAAUUGCAACAAAAGACCAAACCGUAGUUGCUCUUGGGCAUUGGAUCAACACAUGGUCG
Molecule: long non-coding RNA, 11929 nt
Filed under: Elaeis guineensis (African oil palm)
Lineage: Eukaryota; Viridiplantae; Streptophyta; Magnoliopsida; Arecales; Arecaceae
Description: long non-coding RNA (EGUI_LNC018453)
Source: RNAcentral